This is a long non-coding RNA of Etheostoma spectabile (orangethroat darter), 154 nucleotides long. RefSeq lists it as uncharacterized. NCBI's taxonomy places the organism in Eukaryota, Metazoa, Chordata, Actinopteri, Perciformes, Percidae. The record is from RefSeq and is a predicted model, not a curated record. The transcript has 3 exons.
AGGGUUUAAAAGGAAUAUGAAGAUGAUCGCACACAGAAACAACAAUGGGAAAUGAAGCAUGGAGCUUUUAGUUAAGUAUGAGACCGUCACCCAAUAUGUGUGUGUACAUUCUUUCUGUGUGUCCGUGUGUCCGUGUGUGUGUGUGUCCGUGUGU